RNAcentral lists this ribosomal RNA (491 nucleotides) under uncultured bacterium. Its description in RNAcentral is "partial 16S ribosomal RNA". It matches the Rfam family "Bacterial small subunit ribosomal RNA", at positions 29 to 506 of the family's 1533-position model. The record is from RNAcentral.
AGUGAACGCUGGCGGUAUGCCUAACACAUGCAAGUCGAACGGCAGCACAGUAAGAUCUUGCUCUUACGGGUGGCGAGUGGCGGACGGGUGAGGAAUACAUCGGAAUCUACUUUUUCGUGGGGGAUAACGUAGGGAAACUUACGCUAAUACCGCAUACGACCUACGGGUGAAAGCAGUGGAUCUUCGGACCUUUCGCGAUUGAAUGAGCCGAUGUCGGAUUAGCUAGUGGGCGGGGUAAAGGCCCACCAAGGAGACGAUCCGUAGCUGGUCUGAGAGGAUGAUCCGCAACACUGGAACUGAGAAACGGUCCAGACUCCUACGGGAGGCAGCAGUGGGGAAUAUUGGAAAAUGGGCGCAAGCCUGAUCCAGCCAUACCGCGUGGGUGAAGAAGGCCUUCGGGUUGUAAAGCCCUUUUGUUGGGAAAGAAAAGCAGCAGGUUAAUACCCCGCUGUUCUGACGGUACCCAAAGAAUAAGCACCGGCUAACUUCGU